UCAGAAGAAGCCUAUGUGGUAGGGCACUCCGUUUGGGUCGGAGAUGGCUGCUGGUUCGACUCCAGUCUUCUGAA
This 74-nucleotide transfer RNA is filed under the name Rickettsiaceae bacterium. Its description in RNAcentral is "tRNA-Pro". It matches the Rfam family "tRNA". From Rfam's summary of the family: Transfer RNA (tRNA) molecules are approximately 80 nucleotides in length. Their secondary structure includes four short double-helical elements and three loops (D, anti-codon, and T loops). The record is from RNAcentral. Lineage: Bacteria; Pseudomonadati; Pseudomonadota; Alphaproteobacteria; Rickettsiales; Rickettsiaceae.